GGGCCUGUAGCUCAGCCGGUUAGAGUGCUACUCUGAUAAAGUAGAGGUCGGAUGUUCGAGUCAUCCCAGGCCCACCA
This 77-nucleotide transfer RNA is filed under the name Chloroflexota bacterium. Its description in RNAcentral is "tRNA-Ile". It matches the Rfam family "tRNA". Rfam says of the family: Transfer RNA (tRNA) molecules are approximately 80 nucleotides in length. Their secondary structure includes four short double-helical elements and three loops (D, anti-codon, and T loops). Further hydrogen bonds mediate the characteristic L-shaped molecular structure. tRNAs have two regions of fundamental functional importance: the anti-codon, which is responsible for specific mRNA codon recognition, and the 3' end, to which the tRNAs corresponding amino acid is attached (by aminoacyl-tRNA synthetases). tRNAs cope with the degeneracy of the genetic code in two manners: having more than one tRNA (with a specific anti-codon) for a particular amino acid; and 'wobble' base-pairing, i.e. permitting non-standard base-pairing at the 3rd anti-codon position. Lineage: Bacteria; Bacillati; Chloroflexota. RNAcentral also lists the same sequence under 1 other name. The record is from RNAcentral.